CAAUAGCGUAUAUUUAAGUUGUUGCAGUUAAAAAGCUCGUAGUUGGAUUUCGGGUAGGAUUUGCCGGUCCGUCUUUGAGAUGUGUACUGGUAAGUCCUAUCUUCUUGUCGGGGACCAGCUCCUGGGCUUCACUGUCCGGGACUGGGAGCCGACGAAGUUACUUUGAGUAAAUUAGAGUGUUCAAAGCAAGCCUACGCUCUGAAUAUAUUAGCAUGGAAUAACACGAUAGGACUCUGGCUUAUCUUGUUGGUCUGUGAGACCAGAGUAAUGAUUAAGAGGGACAGUCGGGGACAUUCGUAUUUCAUUGUCAGAGGUGAAAUUCUUGGAUUUAUGAAAGACUAACAUCUGCGAAAGCAUUUGCCAAGGAUGUUUUCAUUAA
Molecule: ribosomal RNA, 379 nt
Filed under: uncultured eukaryote
Lineage: Eukaryota
Description: partial 18S ribosomal RNA
Rfam family: Eukaryotic small subunit ribosomal RNA
Source: RNAcentral